CCUACGGGAGGCAGCAGUGAGGAAUAUUGGUCAAUGGCCGGAAGGCUGAACCAGCCAAGCCGCGUGAAGGACGAAGGUGCCAAGCAUUGUAAACUUCUUUUGUCAAGGGGCAAAGUCCGGCUCGAGAGCCUGACCGAGGGUACUUGAAGAAAAAGCAUCGGCUAACUCCGUGCCAGCAGCCGCGGUAAUACGGAGGAUGCGAGCGUUAUCCGGAUUUAUUGGGUUUAAAGGGUGCGUAGGCGGACUGUUAAGUCAGCGGUAAAAGUCCGGGGCGCAACCUCGGCGAGCCGUUGAAACUGGCUGUCUUGAGAGGGCGAGAGGUACGCGGAAUGCGUAGUGUAGCGGUGAAAUGCUUAGAUAUUGCGCAGAACUCCGAUUGCGAAGGCAGCAUACCGGCGGCGAUCUGACGCUGAGGCACGAAAGCGUGGGUAUCGAACAGUAUUAGAUACCCCAGUAGUC
Molecule: ribosomal RNA, 459 nt
Filed under: uncultured bacterium
Lineage: Bacteria
Description: partial 16S ribosomal RNA
Rfam family: Bacterial small subunit ribosomal RNA
Source: RNAcentral